UACGUAGGGUGCAAGCGUUAAUCGGAAUUACUGGGCGUAAAGCGUGCGCAGGCGGCUUUGCAAGACAGAUGGGAAAUCCCCGGGCUUAACCUGGGAACUGCAUUUGUGACUGCAUGGCUGGAGUGCGGCAGAGGGGGAUGGAAUUCCGCGUGUAGCAGUGAAAUGCGUAGAUAUGCGGAGGAACACCAAUGGCGAAGGCAAGCCCCUGGGCCUGCACUGACGCUCAUGCACGAAAGCGUGGGGAGCAAACAGG
RNAcentral lists this ribosomal RNA (253 nucleotides) under uncultured bacterium. RNAcentral describes it as "partial 16S ribosomal RNA". It matches the Rfam family "Bacterial small subunit ribosomal RNA", at positions 524 to 776 of the family's 1533-position model. The record is from RNAcentral.